RNAcentral lists this ribosomal RNA (492 nucleotides) under uncultured bacterium. Its description in RNAcentral is "partial 16S ribosomal RNA". It matches the Rfam family "Bacterial small subunit ribosomal RNA", at positions 29 to 507 of the family's 1533-position model. The record is from RNAcentral.
AGUGAACGCUGGCGGUAGGCCUAACACAUGCAAGUCGAACGGCAGCACAGUAGGAGCUUGCUCUUACGGGUGGCGAGUGGCGGACGGGUGAGGAAUACAUCGGAAUCUACUUUUUCGUGGGGGAUAACGUAGGGAAACUUACGCUAAUACCGCAUACGACCUACGGGUGAAAGCAGGGGAUCUUCGGACCUUGCGCGAUUGAAUGAGCCGAUGUCGGAUUAGCUAGUUGGCGGGGUAAAGGCCCACCAAGGCGACGAUCCGUAGCUGGUCUGAGAGGAUGAUCAGCCACACUGGAACUGAGACACGGUCCAGACUCCUACGGGAGGCAGCAGUGGGGAAUAUUGGACAAUGGGCGCAAGCCUGAUCCAGCCAUACCGCGUGGGUGAAGAAGGCCUUCGGGUUGUAAAGCCCUUCUGUUGGGAAAGAAAAGCAGCAGGUUAAUACCCCGCUGUUCUGACGGUACCCAAAGAAUAAGCACCGGCUAACUUCGUG